UGGGGAAUAUUGCACAAUGGGGGAAACCCUGAUGCAGCGACGCCGCGUGAGCGAAGAAGGUUUUCGAAUCGUAAAGCUCUGUCCUAUGGGAAGAUAAUGACGGUACCAUAGGAGGAAGCCCCGGCUAACUACGUGCCAGCAGCCGCGGUAAUACGUAGGGGGCAAGCGUUGUCCGGAAUCACUGGGCGUAAAGGGUUCGCAGGCGGAAAUGCAAGUCAGUUGUGAAAGGCAGAAGCUCAACCUCUGUAAGCAAUUGAAACUGUAUUUCUUGAGAUGUGGAGAGGCAAGUGGAAUUCCUAGUGUAGCGGUGAAAUGCGUAGAUAUUAGGAAGAAUACCGGUGGCGAAGGCGACUUGCUGGACACAAACUGACGCUGAGGAACGAAAGCGUGGGUAGCAAACAGG
Molecule: ribosomal RNA, 403 nt
Filed under: Fusobacteriota bacterium
Lineage: Bacteria; Fusobacteriati; Fusobacteriota
Description: Fusobacteria bacterium partial 16S ribosomal RNA
Rfam family: Bacterial small subunit ribosomal RNA
Source: RNAcentral